UGAGACAGCUGCCUCCAACGGUAAUGGAGAAACUUGGGUUUGGCUAACUGUAUAUGGACUUGCUUCUGACUGGCUUCUGUCCUUUUUAGUAGAUUCGGAUAAAAUAUACCCUUCUCAGAUCUCUGAAAUAUUACUGGUUGUCAGCUUGACAGCAUCAGACAGUCAGAUCCACUAUAGACUAGUCAGUAUGUUAGCUGAUAAAAUAAUGACUAUCUACUGUUCAGGCACAAGCUCAAGGUUUUUAAGUUUAUUUUGGUUGUCAUUUAAGUACAAACUUAAAGGGCUUUUCAUCAGGCCAAAGGCACCCCUGUCCAAUCCAUACUUAGCUCUCUGGACAGAAGAAAUAUACAUGCUUAUAGCUCAAAUCUGUAGUUCUUGCUAGGACUCAAAGUUAUAAAUAUGUUCUUGCUGUUUGAACAGAUAUCCAGAUAUCUGCUUUCUCUGCACUGUGGGCUUCAAUAAAUAAGUUUUAACCUCUGUUCCCAGUUUAAAUAUGUCUUAAACAGGUUUCUGCUUCUGACAGACAUCUGAAUAUCAGUUGCGGACUACAGGCUGUUCUAAGUAGACUGCGAGCCCUGGACUUGCUAUGGAUAUGAACCAGUCUGCUGAUAUGGACACCCCCUAUCUCUGCAACAGUGUCUGCUAACCAGAAGCCCCUGAUGGAUUCCCCAUUGCCUAAAUUCCUUUUUGCUUUUGACUAGCAUUUCAACCUUCUGGGGUCCCUAACUUCGUCCCAAAGUCAGCAGGAAGCAGUUUGGAAAGAAAUUUCGCCGUCCAUUUUCCCUGGUUAGAAUGCUAAGUCAAAAGGAACUCCCUUGCAUGGGGAUGCGAAACGACAGGGGAUGCUCACUGGAAGCCUUCAUCCUCAUGGGACAAGAUUCAGGUAACCAGAGGAUGGCAAAAGGGCUCCACCGGUACCACCUCUAUGCCUCUCCUUAUUUCCUUUACAGCGUAUUAGGGAAAUCAACCCGAUAUAAGAGGGAGCCAAUAUCCUUUACCGUGGCCCUAUUAUAAGGAGGGAUAACAGUGGGGGCCAUAGCAGCCGGCAUAGGGAAUUAAUCAUUUUAAGCUUCUACAACAAGCCAUGCACACAGAUAUCCAGGUCCUAAAAGAGUCAGUCAAUGCACUCGAGAAAUCCUUAACAUCACUCUCUGAGGUAGUCCUAUAACAGACCAUACAGGAAUAGUUAGAGGCAGCAUGGCCAAGCUAAGAGAAAGACCUAACCAGAGACCUCUGAAUGGAAGAUUCCAUUCAGUUACAAGAGAAAUGGGGGAAUGAAAGACCCGCUCGAAAUGCCCCUGAGCCCCCUGCCCCGAAGCUGCCGGAGCCUCCCAAGCCUUCACCCCGGCAGGGCUCGCGCCCCCGGCCCGCCCCGCCUGGCACCACACCUCGGGGCUGGGGCCGAGCAACGAGCACCAGGUGGGCAGGCCCGAGAAUGAGCACCGGGUGGGCCGGCACGAGGGCGAGCACCAGGUGGGUCGGCACGAGAACAAACACCGAGUGAGCCGGCCUGGAGCCCUGCCCCUGAGCCCCCGCCCGAAGAGAAACACUCCGUCCCAAGGUCUCCGCCCCCAAGGUCAGCCAUCAGGAAGGGGGGGGGAAUUGAGUCUGCUGUACCAGACACCAGACACCAGACCUUGAGAAUAUGCUGAUCUGGAAUGGCUCUGUGUCUUAUUUGAACCAUCCAAUAGAAAUGAUUCUGUAUUUCGCCUCAUUUGAAAGACUCUAUGUUUCACCUCAUUUGAAUAACUCUGUACUUUGCCUCAUUUGAAUAACCCUGUAUAGCGCCUCAUAUACAUUGACCAAUGGGAAUAGCUCUGUAUAAUGCCUCAUUAGAAUUAUCCAAUAGAAUCCCUACUCCUAGCUUGCGCCUUUUUCCCUAUAUAAGGACCCCUUUCCCUUGGCUCGAGGCGCUUAGCCACACAAAGGCUAAGUGGCCCCGGGUACCCGCGUCUCCAAUAAAGCCUCUUGUUUUUUGCAUCCAGUUCGUGGCCUCGCUGAUUCCUGGGUGUGUGGGUCUCCCUCUACGAAAGUGUCUCUUCGGG
Molecule: long non-coding RNA, 2045 nt
Filed under: Cricetulus griseus (Chinese hamster)
Lineage: Eukaryota; Metazoa; Chordata; Mammalia; Rodentia; Cricetidae
Description: lncRNA (ENSCGRG00015032560.1)
Source: RNAcentral